UGUCUGACUUCUGGCAAGAUACUCAGCCCUCUUUCUGCCCCCAUUUCUCACGUAGGAAGUGACAAUAUCAAUGUAGCUCUCUGAAGCAGGUUGCUGGGGCCCUUGGAUGGGCUCAUCAACGUGCAAACCUCAGAACACAAAAGGAGAAUCUGAAGACGCGUUAGAGUUGCAUGCCUCCCGGCAGACACUGAGAAGUCCCUUAAGCACAUGGCAGCAAGAUGGAGGAUGUGCCCCUGCCCCGGAGAAGCUCACAGACCAGUGGGCGAAUCAGACGUGGGCCCGACAGUCGUCACAUGCGUUCCUACAGAGCAGGACCCAGGAGCUGCGUCUACUCUAGGAGGACAGAGCAAGUCCAUCCAACUUUGUUCUGCUUUUGUUUGAAAGCAGAGUCUCUCCUGGAAUGGCUCAUCAUUUCUGGUGGUAGUUUUUCUCCUCUCGCUGCCCUCCAUCGUCUUGAGAUGGGAACACCCUGGAAACAUGAGACACAGAGAGAGAGAGCUCAAGAAGGGCAGGGGGCAAAGGGAGAAAGAGAGAGAAUCUCAAGCCGGCCCCAUGCCCAGUGCAGCCCAACGACCCUGGGAUCAUGACCUGAGCCAAAAACAAGAGUCAGGUGCUCAACCGACUGAGCCACCCAGGCACUGCUACCCUGUCUUUUUCUUAAGAAGCUCGAGAAAACCCGCAGUGAUGAUGGAGGGGAGAGGAGAAGGGGUCUGUGUAUUCGGGGUGGGAAGGCAGCAUCGUGGUGACUGCACCUCCAAGGCCUAAGGCUCUCCCCAUUCACUGCGCGGCGUUACAUCUGACAAAACCAGCCCCGGACUUUAAGUGGCAAAUUAUAGCCUGGCUGUAUAACAGCUCUCGAUCUCAUGUAUUCACUUUUUUUUUUUUUUUUGAAUUCCUAAAAAAAUCACGGCAGUACAUCAGCAUGGCCCCCUGCCCCCCGCACUGGGGAAGUUUGAUAAUGUAUGUCCUAACUGCUUAAUUGAUUGAUUACCUCACGGCAGCUUCCUGAGGUACCGAAUUUAUCUCUAAUAGCCAGAGUCAGGCUCUGCAGACAACCGUGGGGGGGACCGGGGUCCCUUGGUGUCGAUUUGCUCUUAACUGGAAAGUCAUUACCACUUAAUACAUGUAGAUUGUGUUGAAAGAAAAUUAUGUGUAAUGAAAUGAGGGAAAAAUUAGUGGAGUGUUAUGGGCGAAAGCAGAUGUUACAGAGAAAUUAUGCUAGCAGAGAUAAUCACCUUCGUUGGUAUUGUGUGUGCUGGGGUGUUAACUGAAGAGGAGGAGGGGACAGGGCUGAAGGAGGGCCCUGAUCGGCACAGACUCGCCCCCCCCAGAAACUGCCGCACGGGAUGGGCCCCCCAGGACCCGGCAGCCGGGCCUCUGUAGCUUGGCCCACCCAAACCUGGGACCCCUCUGCCCUGCGGUCUCCCAGGAUGCCUGGUCGCAAAGAAUCUACCCGCGGGUCUGGGGAGAGACAGGGUGGAGGAACUAGGGAUGCCUCCUGCCAACUGAGGCGGGUGGAAAGCAUGGGGCUCUCAUUGCUACAGCCUUAGUUGAAUCUGGGCGAAAGCAAAGCCCCAAACUCCUCCCCCCCAUCUCAAACAAA
Molecule: long non-coding RNA, 1603 nt
Organism: Prionailurus viverrinus (fishing cat)
Lineage: Eukaryota; Metazoa; Chordata; Mammalia; Carnivora; Felidae
Exons: 3
Source: RefSeq, a predicted model, not a curated record